RNAcentral lists this ribosomal RNA (500 nucleotides) under uncultured bacterium. Its description in RNAcentral is "bacterial SSU rRNA". It matches the Rfam family "Bacterial small subunit ribosomal RNA", at positions 68 to 561 of the family's 1533-position model. The record is from RNAcentral.
GGGGAAGGGUAGCUUGCUAUGUGACCUAGCGGGGGACGGGUGAGUAAUGCUUAGGAAUCUGCCUAUUAGUGGGGGACAACAUUCCGAAAGGAAUGCUAAUACCGCAUACGCCCUACGGGGGAAAGCAGGGGAUCUUCGGACCUUGCGCUAAUAGAUGAGCCUAAGUUCAGAUUAGCUAGUUGGGGGGGUAAAGGCCUACCAAGGCGACGAUCUGUAGCGGGUCUGAGAGGAUGAUCCGCCACACUGGGACUGAGACACGGCCCAGACUCCUACGGGAGGCAGCAGUGGGGAAUAUUGGACAAUGGGCGAAAGCCUGAUCCAGCCAUGCCGCGUGUGUGAAGAAGGCCUUUUGGUUGUAAAGCACUUUAAGCGAGGAGGAGGCUACUGAGAUUAAUACUCUUGGAUAGUGGACGUUACUCGCAGAAUAAGCACCGGCUAACUCUGUGCCAGCAGCCGCGGUAAUACAGAGGGUGCGAGCGUUAAUCGGAUUUACUGGGCGU